This 272-nucleotide ribosomal RNA is filed under the name uncultured eukaryote. RNAcentral's name for it is "partial large subunit ribosomal RNA". It matches the Rfam family "Bacterial large subunit ribosomal RNA", at positions 2207 to 2478 of the family's 2925-position model. The record is from RNAcentral.
GUAAUUGUUAGAUUUCUAACUUUGAAUCAUUAUCUGGUCAAAGAACAGUUUCAGGCGGGCAGUUUGACUGGGGCGGUCGCCUCCUAAACGGUAACGGAGGCGUACAAAGGUUUCCUCUGAACGGUUAGAAAUCGUAUCUAGAGUGUAAAGGCAUAAGGAAGCUUGACUGUGAGACCUACAAGUCGAGCAGGGACGAAAGUCGGUCUUAGUGAUCUGACGGUACUGAGUGGAAAGGCCGUCACUCAACGGAUAAAAGUUACUCUAGGGAUAAC